RNAcentral lists this ribosomal RNA (468 nucleotides) under uncultured bacterium. RNAcentral's name for it is "partial 16S ribosomal RNA". It matches the Rfam family "Bacterial small subunit ribosomal RNA", at positions 28 to 507 of the family's 1533-position model. The record is from RNAcentral.
GACGAACGCUGGCGGCGUGCUUAACACAUGCAAGUCGAACGGAAAGGCCCUGCUUUUGUGGGGUGCUCGAGUGGCGAACGGGUGAGUAACACGUGAGUAACCUGCCCUUGACUUUGGGAUAACUUCAGGAAACUGGGUCUAAUACCGGAUAGUAGCUCCUGCUGCAUGGUGGGGGUUGGAAAGUUUCGGCGGUUGGGGAUGGACUCGCGGCUUAUCCGCUUGUUGGUGGGGUAGUGGCUUACCAAGGCUUUGACGGGUAGCCGGCCUGAGAGGGUGACCGGCCACAUUGGGACUGAGAUACGGCCCAGACUCCUACGGGAGGCAGCAGUGGGGAAUAUUGCACAAUGGGCGGAAGCCUGAUGCAGCAACGCCGCGUGCGGGAUGACGGCCUUCGGGUUGUAAACCGCUUUCGCCUGUGACGAAGCGUGAGUGACGGUAAUGGGUAAAGAAGCACCGGCUAACUACGUG